RNAcentral lists this ribosomal RNA (367 nucleotides) under uncultured organism. RNAcentral's name for it is "bacterial LSU rRNA". It matches the Rfam family "Bacterial large subunit ribosomal RNA", at positions 2099 to 2465 of the family's 2925-position model. The record is from RNAcentral.
CUUUACUGUAGCUUUACAUUGGACUUUGAACAGAUCUGUGUAGGAUAGGUGGGAGGCUUUGAAGCGGUGCCGCUAGGUGUCGUGGAGCCAACGUUGAAAUACCACCCUGGUGUGUUUGAGGUUCUAACCUUGACCCGUUAUCCGGGUUGGGGACAGUGUAUGGUGGGCAGUUUGACUGGGGCGGUCUCCUCCCAAAGCGUAACGGAGGAGUUCGAAGGUACGCUAGGCACGGUCGGAAAUCGUGCUGAUAGUGCAUAGGCAUAAGCGUGCUUGACUGCGAGACUGACAAGUCGAGCAGGUACGAAAGUAGGACUAAGUGAUCCGGUGGUUCUGUAUGGAAGGGCCAUCGCUCAACGGAUAAAAGGUA